Molecule: ribosomal RNA, 867 nt
Filed under: Stenotrophomonas maltophilia
Lineage: Bacteria; Pseudomonadati; Pseudomonadota; Gammaproteobacteria; Lysobacterales; Lysobacteraceae
Description: partial 23S ribosomal RNA
Rfam family: Bacterial large subunit ribosomal RNA
Source: RNAcentral
GGUCAAGCGAAUAAGCGCACACGGUGGAUGCCUUGGCGGUCAGAGGCGAUGAAGGACGUGGCAGCCUGCGAAAAGUAUCGGGGAGCUGGCAACAAGCUUUGAUCCGGUAAUGUCCGAAUGGGGAAACCCACCCGCUUGCGGGUAUCCUGCAGUGAAUACAUAGCUGCUGGAAGCGAACCUGGUGAACUGAAAUAUCUAAGUAACCAGAGGAAAAGAAAUCAACCGAGAUUCCGUAAGUAGCGACGAGCGAACGCGGACUAGCCCUUAAGCUGGAUUGGUUCUAGGAAAACGCUCUGGAAAGAGCGGCCAUAGAAGGUGAUAGCCCUGUAUCUGAAAGGGCCAUUCCAGUGAAGACGAGUAGGGCGGGGCACGUGAAACCCUGUCUGAACAUGGGGGGACCAUCCUCCAAGGCUAAAUACUACUGACCGACCGAUAGUGAACCAGUACCGUGAGGGAAAGGCGAAAAGAACCCCGGAGAGGGGAGUGAAAUAGAACCUGAAACCGUGUGCGUACAAGCAGUAGGAGCUCCGCAAGGAGUGACUGCGUACCUUUUGUAUAAUGGGUCAGCGACUUACUGUUCGUGGCAAGCUUAACCGUAUAGGGGAGGCGAAGGGAAACCGAGUCUGAUAAGGGCGCAUAGUCGCGGGCAGUAGACCCGAAACCGGGUGAUCUAGUCAUGCCCAGGGUGAAGGUGCGGUAACACGCACUGGAGGCCCGAACCCACUCCCGUUGCAAAGGUAGGGGAUGAGGUGUGAUUAGGAGUGAAAAGCUAAUCGAACCCGGAGAUAGCUGGUUCUCCUCGAAAGCUAUUUAGGUAGCGCCUCAUAUGUAUCCUCUCGGGGGUAGAGCACUGUUAUGGCUAGGGGG